UUCAAGCCUGAAAAGUUCCCUUAGCAACCGCAUCGGUCCGUAUUCACAAGGAGGGGCUGCCGGGGAGGGGGAGAGAAAUCACCGCAGAAUAAGAUACUCUCGUUUAUAGAUUAGUUGUAUAAAGCCAACUCAACGGCGAUUCAAAUUCAUGACCAACAUUACCCGUGUGCUUUUGCACAUUGGCAUUCUGAAACGGGACAUUUUAGGCAAAUUUUAGGUGUGAAGCUUAUUAGAUGAAUAAUUUACUUUCUUCAAACAACUAAAUCAAUCCUCCUGAGUCACGACUCAAUGGCUAGAUACUCCAAUUCUGAAUAUAGUGACUCGUUGCGGACAGUCGCCCUAAUCCUGUUCGAGUUUUCUUUUCACCCUGUGACGAAGUUUCGCAUUUCUUGAGUUAGAACAUGACCAUAAAUUCCAUUUUUAAGAGUACAAACGGACUUCGAACGAAUGCACGUGCCUUACAAGGCGCAAUCCUACAUUUUUUUACUUUACAUUUAUGCUUUGUUUUCUUGAUUUUUGUAACACAUGGAUUGUAAUUUAAUCGAGCCUUCUUUGUUUGAAUGUAGGAAUUUGAAUAGAGAAAACAUCAAUGCCAAUAUAAAGACAAGCACGUCCAUUACAAAUAGGUAGUUUUGUUCCUCUUGUUGUCAGUACACUGUAGCUAACAAAGACUGGUAUAAGUUUACUUCCACACCGUUGUUUGGAUCUUUUCAGUAAAAUGCACUUGAACAAAAAUAAAAAAAAGACUAAUAGUAUUUCAGUGUUUAUGGUACUUGAAAGAUCUCUAUUUUUCCAAUCAGCCGCGAAAGAAGUUGAUUCUUUUAAAAAACGAAACCGACUCCUCUCUAUUUUAAAAAAAACACAUCGCCUGUGUAUCUUUUCUUUGUUCAUUAGGUUUGUUAGUUCAAUUUGUCAGCUUUCAUCAGAGAUCUGAUCUUUUAGUUGAGCAAAAUAGUGUGUGUAACGUGAUUUGAAUUCAUUCGUUAGCCACAGAGGCUAAAAUUAAUUUAUUUUAACGAGUAAACUGUUAUAUGUCGUAGCAACAGUACCCUAUACAAACGUAUUUGUGAAUCUCGUAUUUUUUUCGCCGUCCAUAAAACAUUUCUAAGUUAUAUGAAUAGCAAUAAUUUAUUCGUUUAUAUUGCAAGUUACUUGCCUUUGUAAUAGACAGCAGAGCUACAAGCAAGAGUGAGGCGUGUGUUAAUAUCGCCGUCUGCUGGCAGACUCCUUUCAAUGAUGCCACUUUUACUCACUGCCAUUUAGAAAAACGCUAUUAAGCAAGAAAAAUACUAAUUUAUCAUAGAAAGCUACGGAGUUGUGAUGAAUCCCUACUGUGAAUUAGCUAACUGCUAAAAAAAGGCAGUACCUUAAAAAAAACAAAUUGUAGUUUCACAUUCAUUUCAUCUUUAUUUCCAAACGACUAGAUAAAUUAGACUUCUGUUCGGCUAGAAGGAAUGAAAUUUCUGAGCUGCUCGUUGAAGGUUGCAACAAGUUCGAGCGCACCCAAUCGCUGACAUGUAGAAUUAACAAAGCGGGCGAGUUUUACUUUCAACCAACUGAUUUCGGGAUUAGACAACGGGCAUUGAAAUGGAUGUAACGGGCAAACGGAAGAAAGUUCACACAAUCGUAACGCGAUUUCCUGGACCUGA
Chiloscyllium plagiosum (whitespotted bambooshark) is the source of this 1649-nucleotide long non-coding RNA. RefSeq lists it as uncharacterized. Lineage: Eukaryota; Metazoa; Chordata; Chondrichthyes; Orectolobiformes; Hemiscylliidae. The record is from RefSeq and is a predicted model, not a curated record.